This 207-nucleotide ribosomal RNA is filed under the name uncultured bacterium. RNAcentral's name for it is "partial 16S ribosomal RNA". It matches the Rfam family "Bacterial small subunit ribosomal RNA", at positions 568 to 774 of the family's 1533-position model. The record is from RNAcentral.
CGCGUAGGCGGCUUUGCAAGCGUGCGGUGAAAGCUCGGGGCUUAACUCCGAGUCUGCCGUGCGAACUGUGAGGCUUGAGUCUGGUAGAGGUCGAUGGAAUUCCGGGUGUAGCGGUGGAAUGCGUAGAGAUCCGGAAGAACACCGGUGGCGAAGGCGGUCGACUGGGCCGGUACUGACGCUGAGGCGCGACAGCGUGGGGAGCAAACA